RNAcentral lists this non-coding RNA (29 nucleotides) under Rattus norvegicus (Norway rat). The record is from RNAcentral. Lineage: Eukaryota; Metazoa; Chordata; Mammalia; Rodentia; Muridae.
UCCUUUGGCAGAUGAUGAGACGAGUGUAU